Molecule: ribosomal RNA, 384 nt
Filed under: uncultured bacterium
Lineage: Bacteria
Description: bacterial SSU rRNA
Rfam family: Bacterial small subunit ribosomal RNA
Source: RNAcentral
GACGAACGCUGGCGGCGUGCUUAACACAUGCAAGUCGAGCGGUAAGGCCCUUUCGGGGGUACACGAGCGGCGAACGGGUGAGUAACACGUGGGUGACCUGCCCUCAGCUCUGGGAUAAGCCUGGGAAACCGGGUCUAAUACCGGAUAUGACUCCAUGACGCAUGUUGUGGGGUGGAAAGCCUUGUGCGGCUGAGGAUGGGCCCGCGGCCUAUCAGCUUGUUGGUGGGGUGANGGCCUACCAAGGCGACGACGGGUAGCCGGCCUGAGAGGGCGACCGGCCACACUGGGACUGAGACACGGCCCAGACUCCUACGGGAGGCAGCAGGUGGGGAAUCUUGCGCAAUGGGCGAAAGCCUGACGCAGCGACGCCGCGUGAGGGAUGAC